Molecule: ribosomal RNA, 545 nt
Filed under: uncultured Glomeromycotina
Lineage: Eukaryota; Fungi; Glomeromycota
Description: SSU rRNA
Rfam family: Eukaryotic small subunit ribosomal RNA
Source: RNAcentral
UUGGAGGGCAAGUCUGGUGCCAGCAGCCGCGGUAAUUCCAGCUCCAAUAGCGUAUAUUAAAGUUGUUGCAGUUAAAAAGCUCGUAGUUGAAUUUCGGGGUUCUACCGUUGGUCGGGCUAUUGUCUGUACUGGCGUGUAGAAUUUCUACCUUCUGGGGAACUAUCAUGUUAUUAAUUUAGCGUGGUAGGAAACCAGGACCUUUACCUUGAAAAAAUUAGAGUGUUCAAAGCAGGCUUAUGUCUGAAUACAUUAGCAUGGAAUAAUAAAAUAGGACGGUGGUCCUGUUUUGUUGGUUCCUGAAUCACCGUAAUGAUUAAUAGGGAUAGUUGGGGGCAUUAGUAUUCAAUUGUCAGAGGUGAAAUUCUUGGAUUUAUUGAAGACUAACUACUGCGAAAGCAUUUGCCAAGGAUGUUUUCAUUAAUCAAGAACGAAAGUUAGGGGAUCGAAGACGAUCAGAUACCGUCGUAGUCUUAACCAUAAACUAUGCCGACUAGGGAUCGGAUGAUGUUAAUUUUUUAAUGACUCAUUCGGCGCCUUACGGGAAA